RNAcentral lists this ribosomal RNA (253 nucleotides) under uncultured bacterium. RNAcentral describes it as "partial 16S ribosomal RNA". It matches the Rfam family "Bacterial small subunit ribosomal RNA", at positions 524 to 776 of the family's 1533-position model. The record is from RNAcentral.
UACAGGGGGGGUAAGCGUUGUUCGGAAUUACUGGGCGUAAAGGGUCUGUAGGUGGCUUGCUAAGUCAGACGUGAAAUCCCUCAGCUUAACUGGGGAACUGCGUCUGAUACUGAUGAGCUUGAGUGCAGGAGAGGAACGCGGAAUUCCAGGUGUAGCGGUGAAAUGCGUAGAUAUCUGGAGGAACACCGGUGGCGAAGGCGGCGUUCUGGACUGCAACUGACACUGAGAGACGAAAGCCAGGGGAGCAAACGGG